This 440-nucleotide ribosomal RNA is filed under the name uncultured bacterium. RNAcentral describes it as "partial 16S ribosomal RNA". It matches the Rfam family "Bacterial small subunit ribosomal RNA", at positions 338 to 795 of the family's 1533-position model. The record is from RNAcentral.
CCUACGGGCGGCAGCAGUGGGGGAUAUUGCACAAUGGGGGGAACCCUGAUGCAGCGACGCCGCGUGAGCGAAGAAGUAAUUCGUUAUGUAAAGCUCUAUCAGCAGGGAAGAAAAUGACGGUACCUGAGUAAGAAGCCCCGGCUAACUACGUGCCAGCAGCCGCGGUAAUACGUAGGGGGCAAGCGUUAUCCGGAUUUACUGGGUGUAAAGGGAGCGUAGACGGCAGGGCAAGUCUGGAGUGAAAGGCCGGGGCUCAACCCCCGGACUGCACUGGAAACUGUCCGGCUGGAGUGUAGGAGAGGCAGGUGGAAUUCCUAGUGUAGCGGUGAAAUGCGUAGAUAUUAGGAGGAACACCAGUGGCGAAGGCGGCCUACUGGACGGUAACUGACGUUGAGGCUCGAAAGCGUGGGGAGCAAACAGGAUUAGAUACCCGGGUAGUC